This 468-nucleotide ribosomal RNA is filed under the name uncultured bacterium. RNAcentral describes it as "partial 16S ribosomal RNA". It matches the Rfam family "Bacterial small subunit ribosomal RNA", at positions 28 to 507 of the family's 1533-position model. The record is from RNAcentral.
GACGAACGCUGGCGGCGUGCUUAACACAUGCAAGUCGAACGGAAAGGCCCUGCUUUUGUGGGGUGCUCGAGUGGCGAACGGGUGAGUAACACGUGAGUAACCUGCCCUUGACUUUGGGAUAACUUCAGGAAACUGGGGCUAAUACCGGAUAGGAGCUCCUGCUGCAUGGUGGGGGUUGGAAAGUUUCGGCGGUUGGGGAUGGACUCGCGGCUUAUCAGCUUGUUGGUGGGGUAGUGGCUUACCAAGGCUUUGACGGGUAGCCGGCCUGGGAGGGUGACCGGCCACAUUGGGACUGAGAUACGGCCCAGACUCCUACGGGAGGCAGCAGUGGGGAAGAUUGCACAAUGGGCGGAAGCCUGAUGCAGCAACGCCGCGUGCGGGAUGACGGCCUUCGGGUUGUAAACCGCUUUCGCCUGUGACGAAGCGUGAGUGACGGUAAUGGGUAAAGAAGCACCGGCUAACUACGUG